Molecule: long non-coding RNA, 398 nt
Organism: Helianthus annuus (common sunflower)
Lineage: Eukaryota; Viridiplantae; Streptophyta; Magnoliopsida; Asterales; Asteraceae
Exons: 2
Source: RefSeq, a predicted model, not a curated record
CAUCACUAAAAAUAACCGCUUCAACCAAACCUAUUCUUUCACAUUCCGUCUCUUUAUUACUCAAUAACGCUUCAAUCAAACCUCAAAAGAUUAAUUGACAUCACAUAGAACCUCUGUGUAUCUCUGCACCCCUAACACCACAUGGUGUGGGCGUGGAUCUGUGGCGUUUAUGCUUCUCCACGUCGCGCAUACCACACCGUCGUCGGCAUUAUCAACGGCGUUUACGGACGGGCUUGGAAUUCUCCAUCGGCGUUGAGACUUUAAGUUGGUCGACGUGGUAUGUUGUGAAUGAGGUGGCAUGUGGUAUGUAUAUGUGUUCGAAUAGGAUUUUUUUCAGGGUACUAUAUAAAUCUAGCAAUAGUGUAGGAUUUCGUUGUUAUAUCUCAUUUGUUUAUCAA